Molecule: long non-coding RNA, 798 nt
Organism: Eleginops maclovinus (Patagonian blennie)
Lineage: Eukaryota; Metazoa; Chordata; Actinopteri; Perciformes; Eleginopidae
Exons: 3
Source: RefSeq, a predicted model, not a curated record
AGGUAAAAAAGAAGAAAAAGGACGAGGCCGUGAUCAAGGAGAAGAUGCAGCGUACCUUCUCGCUUAGGAGGCAGCAGAUUCUCCAGGAGCCGAAGAUUCCAGAGUUCCUGAACAAAUGGCCAGCACUCUUUGACGUCAGUGAGAUCAACUUGGAGUUUAUGCGGCUGACGACUAUACCUCUGACCUCCAAAUUCCUUGGAGAACUGGACCGCCUGACCGACGACCUGAUCAGAGUUUUCCAUACCAAAGGUGGAGCUGCAGGAAGAAAGAUCAGAGCUGUGAGGGCAAAAACGGCUGAUAUAAGUAUUUUUUGGUCUAACCUAAUACAUAUAUGGUUUGUUUGACUCAGCCAUAUGGGAAAGCUCCUUUGUUAACGGUUUGGAAAAGGAUAGGCACUUUCAAAAUUACUGUGUUGUGAACGGGCUCAGACCUGUGUGAGUUUCGACUGAGUGGGGUGAAAUCAGGCGAGUUCAGGAUGGUCAAGGUGGGAAAUGUCAGUGGCUUGGCUGGCCUCAGCAUAUGCGUCUCGGACACAUUUAACAUUUGUUUCAGAGUGAAGACAUCAACGUGAGGCGUGAUUGUGUGCUGAGCUGUCUGAGCAUCUAUCUCAAUGAAGACCUGGACACACUGGUCAAAGAAUAUGUGGAAGUAAAUCCACAUGGUCCGGAAGAGCUUGAGGUUAAGGGUCAGGUCCUGGCACCUAAGCGUCUCCAAUAUGCCAGUGACGAUAAUUCUGCCCCAAACAAGAAGGUAAGGACACAGAAACUUGACAGUUCUCAUAAAGUAGCAGUUAUGUAA